RNA transcript from Hemibagrus wyckioides, 2722 nucleotides. It is a transcript of the gene named inter-alpha-trypsin inhibitor heavy chain H3-like, with no coding region annotated. Lineage: Eukaryota; Metazoa; Chordata; Actinopteri; Siluriformes; Bagridae. The record is from RefSeq and is a predicted model, not a curated record. The transcript is spliced from 6 exons.
GCUCAGGAUUCAUGAUGUUGACAGUGUGGAUUGGGCUGCUGGUGUGUGUGUGUGUCUGGGUGCUAAUGCGCAACCGUGGGGCAAGGCGCCUGGUCUGAAACUUCUUCAGCAUGAUGAAAAAGAUGAUGCGGUUAAUGAAGAGAUUUCAUUUGCAGAUCGAGAUGCAGAAAGUGAAGAUCAACUGCAUAGUGACGUCUCGAAUCGCCCACACGGUCAUGACGUCCACAGCUCUGAACAAGGCCAACAUUUCACAGGAAUUCUACUUUGAGGUGGAGUUGCCCAAGACGGCCUUCAUCACCAACUUCAGCAUGGAGAUUGAAACAGCUGGUCCAGCACUUUGAGAUUGUUGCUAGCAUCUAUGAGCCCCAGGGCAUCACAAAUCUGGGCACUAAUUUCACGUUCAUCACCAACAACCUGCAACCUCUAGUGAAGAAUGAAGUCACUGAUAAAAUAGGAAAUGCCCAGACUGUGAUGGUAUUCUGAUAGACGGGGAUUUCACCAUCACAUACGAUGUCAACCGUGAACAGAAACUGGGUGAUAUUCAGAUCGUGAACAGAUACUUUGUGCUCUUCUUUGUCCCACAUGAUUUGCAACAAUUGCCAAAGAAUGUAAUGUUUGUCAUUGACAGGAGCGGCUCCAUGACGGGAAGAAAAAAGUAAGCUGAACACAGAUAGCGGUUUGAUGUAAAACUCAACAGCAAUGCAGGAUUAUUUAAGAUUUGUUAUUGUUGCCUUAUUAUUUUUGAACUAUGGACAGUUCUGUUGUCAUUGUUGUUGUUGUUGUCGUUGUUGCUUGUAGACUUAAGAGGCACUCUUAACCAUUCUAGAUGACCUCUAUGAGGAAGACCACAUUGGCCUGGUCAUAUUUGAUGAUGAGAUUGAAUCAUGGAGACCAUCUAUGUAACAGUACAAGGCAGAUUGUUGCGAAUCCAUAACCAAAUUUUUAUUAAACCUGAAAGACAAACACUUGUACAAAACAAAACUGAUAAAUCACAAAGCAAAACUCAGAAACCAGAAACGGGAAGCAAAAGUCCAUACACAAUAAUCCACAAAGAGAGUAAUCCAAUGGAUGGCUCGGUAAGGUUUGGGGAACAAUACAUUGCGUUGAAGCGUUGUUUGUAUGCUGUUUUUAAAGAGACAAACCAGGAAGUGUUCUUCGCUGGUGCAUUACAAUUCAGGGGAGGAUUACAAUCAUUGAGCAAAGCUGUAAACGAAAAUAUACAAGAAGCAAGACACGGUAAAUGUUAAAGUAUAAAAGUAUGAUGAUGGUCCUGGAAAUAUUGAUCAUUGAACUAUUGGUAUGUCUGGUCCACAGGAUUAAUGUUUAGUAAUCUAUUAAGGCGCAUCAUGACUUGACAUGAUCUUGUACUUUUGUAAAUGUUUAAAGUCAAAUUUAUAUGAAGCAGCUCUAAAACAUCAUUUACUCACAUCCUCUGUCUUAAAUUAAAUAACACAAAAAACACAAUUUAUUACAUUACCAUGAAACGGAAGGUGAAAGUAUUCAGUUUUGAAGACACUGACACUGAAGACACUCAGACACUGACACUGUUGCUAUAGAAACAUUAGCAUAUUAGAAUGAGAGUUCAACAAGAAUUCAACACUGCAGCAUUUGAUUGAAUUUGCUACAGAUCUGUUUGUUUGAAAAGCCGUUGUGACCUGGAAUUAGAUGUACGCUGAAACAAGUCAAUUCCCAUGUAGUAGAAGAAAAGAAAAUGCUUCUCAUUCCCAUCAGGGCCACAUACCACCAUGAUGACAUGAUGGCAAUGAUGUCAUCCAACUCUCCCUGCUAGAACACAGCCACCUGAUAAGACCAUAUCUCUAGUAAGAUAUGGCCCAAGAUGUUGGUCUAAAAUUGAAAGUCUUAUAUCAGCUACAUUAUUUUUGGCCCACAAUAGUGUAGUCAUUGGCAUCACUAUGACCAUAUAUUUGGUUUGAUGUUCUACAACACCAAAAUUCUUUCCUUCCAUGCAGAUGAGACAAAUACAUCUGUGAUCCAAGACAAUGUCCAUAAUGCUACUGGAAAAAACAUUUGCCUCUUCUGUUUGCGCUUUGGCUAUGAUGUAUACUACAGCUUUCUGGACACGAUGGCCCACCAGAACGAUGGUUCGGAGGAUCUACGAAGCCUCAGAUGCUGCACUGCAAUUGCAGGUUCUUUUAAGUAGAUUGAUUUGUUGUGUGUUCAAAUGUCAGCUCAUUCGCAGAACAACCAAAGACAGAACUGUGACCUUUCAUUCCAAUGGGUUUUUAUGGAGAGGUGGCAAUUCCACUGCUCUUAGAAGUGAAUCUGCAUUAUCCAGACAGCAUGGAGAAUUCCGUGACUACCAACCAUUUCAAUCAAUUCUUUAGUGGCUUUGAGAUUGUAGUCGCUGGCCGACUAAACGACUCUCAGCAAAACACAUUUCUUGUUGAGGUGUCAGCUCAAAUGGUGAGAGAAUCCGAAAUAAAAAUGGAAAAGAAAUGUAUAUCUGAUAUUGAAAGAAUUUAAUUGCAUUGAUGUAUUUUUGUUUGAAUUUAGCUAGAGGAGGCUUUUGUAGUCCAGGGCGAGGCCAAUGCUGGGGAAUGGGUGGUGACAUUCCCUGAGCAAGAAAACAUCUUUGGAGACUUCACUGAACGUCUCUGGGCAUAUUUGACCAUCCAACAACUCUUGAACAAACAGUACAUAUGAUAUCUCGAGUAUUAUUUUUCCUAAUAUCAUCUCGGGGAGUUUUUCCUGCACAUUGUCA